This 447-nucleotide ribosomal RNA is filed under the name uncultured Treponema sp. RNAcentral's name for it is "bacterial SSU rRNA". It matches the Rfam family "Bacterial small subunit ribosomal RNA", at positions 355 to 794 of the family's 1533-position model. The record is from RNAcentral. Lineage: Bacteria; Pseudomonadati; Spirochaetota; Spirochaetia; Treponematales; Treponemataceae.
CUAAGAAUAUUCCGCAAUGGACGAAAGUCUGACGGAGCGACGCCGCGUGAACGAAGAAGGCCGGAAGGUUGUAAAGUUCUUUUGAAACUGGAGAAUAAGUAUUGCAGGGAAUGGCGAUAUGGUGACGGUAGGUUUUGAAUAAGCAACGGCUAAUUACGUGCCAGCAGCCGCGGUAACACGUAAGUUGCGAGCGUUGUUCGGAAUUAUUGGGCGUAAAGGGCAUGUAGGCGGUUUUGCAAGCUUGAUGUGAAAUGCAUAGGCUCAACCUAUGAACUGCAUUGAGAACUACAAGACUUGAGUUACUGAGGUGGAACUGGAAUUCCUAGUGUAGCGGUGAAAUGCGUAGAUAUUAGGAGGAACACCAGUGGCGAAGGCGGCUUACUGGACGAUAACUGACGUUGAGGCUCGAAAGCGUGGGGAGCAAACAGGAUUAGAUACCCUGGUAGU